ACAAACUUGGUCAUUUAGAGGAAGUACAAGUCGUAACAAGGUUUCCGUAGGUGAACCUGCGGAAGGAUCAUUAACGAAUCAUGUGUGAUGUAUGAUUGUGUGUGAUGUUGGUUGUAUGCAUGUGGAUGCAUGUAUGUAUGUAUGUGUGUAGAUAAUAUACACAUUUGUGCAUGUAUGUAUGUGUAGAUAAUAUACACAUUUGUGCAUGUAUGUAGAUAAUAUACACAUUUGUGCAUGCAUGUAUGUAUGUGUGUGUAGAUAAUAUACACAUUUGUGCAUCCACAUGCAUACAAUCACAUUAUACACCAUACAUUGGCCCUCCCUGAUUGGGAAGUGCAUAUUCAUGCUAUUAUUGUGUUGUUGUUGUUGUGGCAUGUGUAUAUGAUGUAUGCAUCAUACACAUGCAUGUGCAUAAACAGAUAACUUUUAACAAUGGAUCUCUAGGCUCUUGCAUCGAUGAAGAACGCAGC
RNAcentral lists this unclassified non-coding RNA (470 nucleotides) under uncultured fungus. RNAcentral describes it as "partial contains small subunit ribosomal RNA, internal transcribed spacer 1, and 5.8S ribosomal RNA". The stretch from base 1 to 73 matches the Rfam family "Eukaryotic small subunit ribosomal RNA", at positions 1759 to 1831 of the family's 1831-position model. The record is from RNAcentral. Lineage: Eukaryota; Fungi.